This 424-nucleotide ribosomal RNA is filed under the name uncultured prokaryote. RNAcentral describes it as "bacterial SSU rRNA". It matches the Rfam family "Bacterial small subunit ribosomal RNA", at positions 355 to 796 of the family's 1533-position model. The record is from RNAcentral.
UGGGGAAUCUUGGACAAUGGGCGAAAGCCUGGUCCAGCCAUGCCGCGUGAGUGAAGAAGGCCCUAGGGUUGUAAAGCUCUUUCAGCGGGGAAGAUAAUGACGGUACCCGCAGAAGAAGCCCCGGCUAACUUCGUGCCAGCAGCCGCGGUAAUACGAAGGGGGCUAGCGUUGUUCGGAAUUACUGGGCGUAAAGCGCGCGUAGGCGGAUUGUUAAGUCAGGGGUGAAAUCCCGAGGCUCAACCUCGGAACUGCCUCUGAUACUGGCAAUCUCGAGUCCGGAAGAGGUUGGUGGAAUUCCGAGUGUAGAGGUGAAAUUCGUAGAUAUUCGGAGGAACACCAGAGGCGAAGGCGGCUCACUGGCCCGGUACUGACGCUCAGGUGCGAAAGCGUGGGGAGCAAACAGGAUUAGAAACCCCUGUAGUCC